GCCAGUGUGGUGCAGUGGUUAGAGUGUUGGACUAGGACCUGGGAGACCAGGGUUCAAAUCCCCGCUGUGCCA
Non-coding RNA from Podarcis lilfordi (Lilford's wall lizard), 72 nucleotides. NCBI's taxonomy places the organism in Eukaryota, Metazoa, Chordata, Lepidosauria, Squamata, Lacertidae. The record is from the annotation of a GenBank genome assembly.